Ctenopharyngodon idella (grass carp) is the source of this 3837-nucleotide long non-coding RNA. RefSeq lists it as uncharacterized. The transcript is spliced from 3 exons. The record is from RefSeq and is a predicted model, not a curated record. NCBI's taxonomy places the organism in Eukaryota, Metazoa, Chordata, Actinopteri, Cypriniformes, Xenocyprididae.
UUUUCUUUAACGACAUCACAUUGAGAACGCAGUAUUUAUUAAUGUUCACUUUGUCCCUGAAGUCAUAAAGGAAUAUUUUGUCUGUGUGUGUUUUCUUCCACAGAACCAGAUUCAGAAGAUGCAGAGCACAACCAAGCAGAAAAUCCAGGAGAAACAGAAAUCAAUAGAGGAGCUGAAACAGGCUGUGAACACACUGAAGCUCUCUGUUCAGACAGUAGUGGAGAACAAUGAGAAGAUCUUCACUGAGCUGAUCCUCUCUAUCAAGAAAAGACAGCAUGAGGUGACAGAGCUGAUCAGAGAUCAGGAGAGGACUGAAGUGAGCUCGAGCAGAAAGACUCAUGGAGCAGCUGGAGCAGGAGAUCGCUGAUCUCGAGAGGAGAGACACAGAGCUGGAUCAACUUUCACACACACCUGAACAUUUUCACUUCAAGAAUCUGUCUGCUUCUUCUGAGUCAUCCAGUAUGAUUGUUAAUAUUUCAUUUGAUGGACUGAGGAAAUCUCUCUCUGAUCUAAAACAACAUUUUGAACAUUUUUGUCAGGAAGAGAUUAGUAAAAUCAUCCCUGUCGGUAAGAGAAUCCAUCCUGCAUCAAAUCAUUUCAGGAACUCUCACUCUCACAAGUUUUUUUUCUUGUUACUUUUAUUCUAAGUAAAUGAACAGAUGUUUUAUUUUGCACUACAUAUACAGUAUGCAAACUACAAUAUUAAACUUGAUCUCGGUUCCUUUACAGUGGCAAGAAUUCAGAUUUUACCAAUGUCCAGAAAUCACUUUAAACAGCGUAAGUCAAAAAAAAAAUGUAUACACCUAUAUAUGACAAUGUAUGUGUCAUAGUAUGACUAGUGUAUUAAUUCAUAAGAGUUGUAUUUAGAAAUGUACUCUAUUUGAGUUCACAAAAUAGUAUUAAAGGUAGGGUAGGCAAUUUCGGAGUGGCUAGCAAUAGCAAGCUAGCUUUGAAAGCAUGAGACCCCACCCUCCCUUCAAAGCGUCUCCAAAGCCAUGCCUCCUCCAAAACACAUGAACACACACAGCGGAGUCUGCAAAGCACCACGAGACGAGAGACAAAGUUAAAUUACCUCAUGUCUCAAAGCACAUAACAUUACAAUAAUAAUGAACGUAAACAACUUACAGAGCUCUUACUUGUACCACCUGACUGCUGUAGAUUCAUUUUGUCUUUGAUAGUGAUGACAGAAACGUAUAAAUCUGAGUCGUAGGAGCAUAAGCUUGUUGUUUUGCCCUAACGAAAAAGAAGUAUAUUUCAAGUUCAUUUUAUAAAGUAUACUUACGUAAUGUUCAAGUAUAUUUUUUAAGUAUACUUUAUGUAGUAAGUAUACUAGUAUCAAUGUACUAGUAGUAAACUUGUAAGUGUACUAUUUUAAUACUGCUUGGGACUAAAUUGGCCCAAUUGAAGUAUACGUUUAAGUGUACUAUAAGUGUAACAGUAGUAAACUUUAAGUACACAACUAGUUCACAGCUUCGUUUCUCAUUUGUACUGCAUCUGUACUACAAGUGAACUUAUAAGUAUACUAGCAGUUUACUAUUUUAAUACUAGUAGUACAUUUAUAGUAUAUGAAAGUACACUUUGAAAUAUACUCAGUAAACUACUAGUUUAGUGCAAGUAUACUUGUCUUCUUUAAGUUAACAUAACAUCACACUUUUCAUUUUUGCACUUUAAGUAUACUACUAUGUUCCUAUUUAGGUAUUAUAUUUUAUACUUGAAAUACUUACUUUAACUCAUUCCAUUUCAAAAACAUUUUAUUCUAGCUUCAUGAAUCCUUUCUUAUCUACACUUAAAAGUGGGUGAGUUUCAUUUGAAAAAAAAAAAAGGAAACAUUUUAAACCAAAAGCUGAGAAAAUUGCAUUUUUGUUAAAGACUAUGUCCUGAUGGGAUUCAGAACGAUGAUCAAACACAGGUGGAGUAGAUCGAGUCCAUAAACACCCCCAAAGCUUCAUAGUCCUCAUAGUCCACAUCAGAGCCGUUAAAUAUGACACUUAUUUAUUCAACACUUAUUUUUCAACGGCUCUGGUCCACAUAACGUUUAGCAGUUUUUAUUUAUAUGCUGUUUACGGUUUGAUGAUCGCUUUAUUUUACAUUUGCGUGAGUAAUAUUCCAUCGCUUGUUUCAGCUUCUUCUUCUCCUGCAUUUUGAUCCGGAGAUUCUUCACUCUUUCAGGAGAUGCGUAACAGCGCCCCCUACAGUAUAGCCUAAAAAUUCAGUCAAUGGCGAGGGAAGAGUAAAGUAGGUUUGAAGUAAAUUCCUUUGUACACUACCAGUGGACUAGCCUACACAAAAAUUCAGAUACUCAGAAUUAGGAAUAUAUCUGUUUUCUUUAUAAAUCAAUAUUUUCAAAAAAUUUACUUUUAUACUUUUAUAAAUAUACAUUUAAGUAUAUCUCGAUCAAAAGACUGAGUCCAAGUAUAGGCCAAAUAUACUUAGACUUUUCUGUCAGUAUAAGUCAAGUAUACUUGUGCAAUUUUAAGUAAAUUUCUCAGAAGUACAUAAAGUAUAUUUCUGAGAAGUAGCCUACAUAAAAAGUAGACUGAAAGUAUUCUUAUUUUUAGUUUAAAAGAAGUAUGCUAAUAGCACACUUGAAUAAACUUCUUUUUCGUAAGAGUGGUUCAGGAGGAACUGUAAAAGGCUGCUGUUUGUUUGUUUUACUCGGUGACUGUCUGUCGACAACUCUGUAUUUGCAUUCCUUACAUAAAGCGCUGAUGAUGUGUGAUGUCCGUGUGAGCAGGUGUGCGGAGGUAUGGAAAUACAUAUGUUGACAGGCGGGUAUGACAGCGUAUCAUUGCAUUUGGAUCGAAUGCAAUGAUUGGACGAACAUAUUUUGUUCCUGAGACUUCCACAGAAGAUAUAUGUACAUGUUUUAAUACUGAGACUACUUCUAUUAUUGAUUGCUAUCAGAAUGUAACCGAUAUAACAAAAAGUGUUUAUAAAACAAUUUGCCUACCCUACCUUUAAACAAUUUUUUUUUUCAUUGCUAAAAUUAUAGUUGAUCAUAACUGACAAUAACAAUCACAGCAUUCUUGAAUAAUUUUUCUUAGAUUUUUGCAGCUUUACCCUUGAUCCCAACACAGCGAGUGAACACUUUGUCCUCUCUGAGAACAACAGACAGAUGACAUACCCUGAGCAUUGUGGGAGAUAUACAUUCCCCUGCAAGGUGUUUUGUAAGGAGAGCGUGUUUGGACGUUGCUAUUGGGAGGUGGAGUGGAGUGGGAGAUGUGUGCACAUAUCAGUCUCAUAUAAAGAAAUGAGUGGCAGAGGAAAGGGAAGAGUCGGUAUGUUUGGAAACAACAGCACAUCUUGGAGUCUGCAAUGUUUUCCCAAGCCUGUUUUCUGGCAUAAGAGUGUUAAAACUGAGAUCUCAGGCCGUUUAUCCUCUAGAAUAGGUGUGUAUGUGGACUACAAAGCAGGAACUCUUUCUUUCUACAAUGUCUCUGAUACAGUGAGUCUCUUACACUGUGUCCAGACCACAUUCACUCAACCCCUCUAUCCUGGGUUUUGGUUCUGUGCAUCAGGUUCUGGAGAUCUGCUCUGCCCAGAGUGCUCUGGGUUCAACACCAAAACGUUCUCCUCAGUCAAAUUGUGUGAUCUAUAAACAAGUACUGGGGAAAAAUCUGAUACCUUCUUCAACAUGAUUAACAUUACUCAAUAUAUAUAUUCAGCUAGAAUGAAAAUGUUUGUGUUUGUAAAAUAAAUCUGUUUAAAUUUGUGUAUGAUAUUUUCCUUUAAAUUAAAGCGAAGAAUACUUUAAAUGACAUAGGCCUGUUUGUAUUAAAAUUUUUAAUUAAUUUCUGUUUCUGCUUUUCUGUCUCUGCUUUUAAACAUAAACACUGU